AUGCAGUCGAGCGAACAGAAGGGAGCUUGCUCCCGGAUGUUAGCGGCGGACGGGUGAGUAACACGUGGGUAACCUGCCUGUAAGACUGGGAUAACUCCGGGAAACCGGAGCUAAUACCGGAUAGUUCCUUGAACCGCAUGGUUCAAGGAUGAAAGACGGUUUCGGCUGUCACUUACAGAUGGACCCGCGGCGCAUUAGCUAGUUGGUGGGGUAAUGGCUCACCAAGGCGACGAUGCGUAGCCGACCUGAGAGGGUGAUCGGCCACACUGGGACUGAGACACGGCCCAGACUCCUACGGGAGGCAGCAGUAGGGAAUCUUCCGCAAUGGACGAAAGUCUGACGGAGCAACGCCGCGUGAGUGAUGAAGGUUUUCGGAUCGUAAAGCUCUGUUGUUAGGGAAGAACAAGUGCGAGAGUAACUGCUCGCACCUUGACGGUACCUAACCAGAAAGCCACGGCUAACUACGUGCCAGCAGCCGCGGUAAUACGUAGGUGGCAAGCGUUGUCCGGAAUUAUUGGGCGUAAAGGGCUCGCAGGCGGUUUCUUAAGUCUGAUGUGAAAGCCCCCGGCUCAACCGGGGAGGGUCAUUGGAAACUGGGAAACUU
This 604-nucleotide ribosomal RNA is filed under the name Bacillus sp. (in: firmicutes). RNAcentral describes it as "bacterial SSU rRNA". It matches the Rfam family "Bacterial small subunit ribosomal RNA", at positions 55 to 643 of the family's 1533-position model. The record is from RNAcentral. Lineage: Bacteria; Bacillati; Bacillota; Bacilli; Caryophanales; Bacillaceae.